Molecule: ribosomal RNA, 332 nt
Filed under: uncultured Polyangium sp.
Lineage: Bacteria; Pseudomonadati; Myxococcota; Polyangiales; Polyangiaceae
Description: bacterial SSU rRNA
Rfam family: Bacterial small subunit ribosomal RNA
Source: RNAcentral
CGUGUAGGCUGCUUGGAAAGUCGGAUGUGAAAGCCCUGGGCUUAACCCAGGAAGUGCACUCGAAACUUCCAAGCUUGAGUUCUGGAGAGGGAAGCGGAAUUCUCGGUGUAGAGGUGAAAUUCGUAGAUAUCGAGAGGAACACCGGUGGCGAAGGCGGCUUCCUGGACAGUGACUGACGCUGAGACGCGAAAGCGUGGGGAGCAAACAGGAUUAGAUACCCUGGUAGUCCACGCCGUAAACGAUGGGUGCUAGGUGUCGCGGGCUUUGACCCCUGCGGUGCCGUAGCUAACGCAUUAAGCACCCCGCCUGGGGAGUACGGCCGCAAGGCUAAA